This 1167-nucleotide long non-coding RNA is filed under the name Heterocephalus glaber (naked mole-rat). Its description in RNAcentral is "lncRNA (ENSHGLG00100039482.1)". The record is from RNAcentral. Lineage: Eukaryota; Metazoa; Chordata; Mammalia; Rodentia; Bathyergidae.
GGGAGCUGUAGUGGGCUCAGAAAGGGACCUGAGUCAUUCUAACACCAGGACAGGAGAGGCUGGAGGGCCUGCUAAAAGUGUACUUGGGGGAUCCUGGAGGUCCCUAAGAAACACAGGCCUCCCUGCAGCAGGACCUAAAGGGGUAGCAUUCUACCUGCCCUACUUGUCCCUGAGCCAUUUCACUACUUCCAGGGGAGAGGGUAGCCAGUCCUCGCCCAGGCAGGAGGCCUGGCUAGCCUGGGUUGGGCCUCAGCUCUAGCAGGUGUCUGAACCAUGGUGGAACAGCCAAGUCGAAUGACUCUAGGGUGUCCAGAAGCCCAGAGACCUUGCCAGGCAGUCUUCCUGGCCCAUAGGUGCCUUAUAAGCUACCUUUUCCCCACUUCUGCCAAGCCCUCUUCAGGCUGCCUCCCCCUAUUCCCCAGGCCCACUCUGGCCUCACCCUCCUUCAAGGAAGUAAAGCUGUAUGCCUUCCCUGUGUUCCCCAGACACUGCAGGAGACUUGUGCCUGUUUCUGGGCCUUAGUGUCCUCAUAGAUGGGCAGUGACCUUGGGUCUGGCCCCUGGGAAGAAGCAGCACCUGUGUUUUGGGCCCCAGAAGAAAGCACUACCAGUGCCCUGCAGUGGAAGAGGCAGGCCAAGCUGAAGGUCACCCAGCCUGCAGAUGAAGUUACCAAGCUUAUUCCCAGCCAAGAGUGGCCACCUCCCACCACAGGGUCAAGGAAUCACUGCUAUGAUAGAAAUGUUUGUAUCCCUCAAAACCCGUGCUGAAAUCCUCACCCUAAUAGUGAUGACAUGUAGCAACUAGGACCUUUGGACUGUGCUUAGGUUGGAGGGAGAAGCCCUCAUGGCUGGGAUUAGUGGCCUUAUCCAAGGAGAGCUCUUGUUUGUCCCUUCGCCAUGUGAGGACACAGCUAAAAAGUGCCUUCUCUGGGGAAGCAGCUCUCAUCAGACAUGAAAAUUGCCUGCUCUGUGUUCUUGGACUUUCAGCCUCCAGGACUCCAACAAAUUUCUUUUUUCUUGUACCAGGGAUCAAACUCAGGACCUUGCACUUGCGAGGCAGGUGCCGGGACCACUGAGCUAAAUCCCCAGCCCCCCAACAAAUUUCUGUUAAGAAAAGAGAAAGAAACUAAAUGUAAAACAAAAAAUAAAAUUAUUUGUUGUGUAUAAA